This 497-nucleotide ribosomal RNA is filed under the name uncultured bacterium. RNAcentral's name for it is "partial 16S ribosomal RNA". It matches the Rfam family "Bacterial small subunit ribosomal RNA", at positions 28 to 507 of the family's 1533-position model. The record is from RNAcentral.
GAUGAACGCUGGCGGCGUGCCUAAUACAUGCAAGUCGAGCGAACAGACGAGGAGCUUGCUCCUCUGACGUUAGCGGCGGACGGGUGAGUAACACGUGGAUAACCUACCUAUAAGACUGGGAUAACUUCGGGAAACCGGAGCUAAUACCGGAUAAUAUAUUGAACCGCAUGGUUCAAUAGUGAAAGACGGUUUUGCUGUCACUUAUAGAUGGAUCCGCGCCGCCUUAGCUAGUUGGUAGGGUAACGGCUUACCAAGGCAACGAUGCGUACCCGACCUGAGAGGAGGCUAGGCCACACUGGAACAGAGACACGGACCAGAGUAAUGAGGGGGGCAGUAGUGGGGAGGUUUGGAGAAUGGGCGAAAGAUGGAUACAUGCAUGAAGAGUGUGGGAAGAAGGUAUUAGGAUUUUAAAGCACUUUUAUUUGGGAGGAAGGAAAGUAAGUGAAUACCUUGCUGUUUUGACGUUACCAAAAGAAUAAGCACCGGCUAACUUCGUG